Molecule: long non-coding RNA, 1733 nt
Organism: Chinchilla lanigera (long-tailed chinchilla)
Lineage: Eukaryota; Metazoa; Chordata; Mammalia; Rodentia; Chinchillidae
Source: Ensembl
AGACCCAUCGAAAGAACUUCAAGUGAUGAGGAGCAAGGUCUGGAAGCUGAACAAAGGACACCUGCUUGUACAGCUUACCCUAACAUGUGAAGUUACACAGCGGAAAGAGAUCGUCAAAUUCUGGGUUCCGAAGCAGUAAGUCUGUACUGCAGAGGUCAAGGAAUUUGACGUCCUCACCCCGGACAGAUUCUCGGAGCGCGCUUUGUCGGCUCUCCCCACGCACCUGGCCGCUUAGGAGGAAUAAAUACCAAACAGUGUAACGAUCACUGCGGUCAACUUGGUUUUCGUUCAGCACUGAAACUACGGAGGUACAGCUAUUUUAGGUGGCUAUCAAAACCCUAAAUCCACCCCCACAGUAAACCGAGGUGUUAAAGCUUAAGCAGGAACAAUUAAAGGGGAAAUGACAUGACUCUAGAGUUGGAAACUGGACAGCAUUUACCAACAUGAGGCAAAAUAGGUAAAAAGAGAUGGAUUUCCACUCUGGAAGAUUUGUCGAAGAACAGGUAUCUCAGGCAAAUGAAAGAACUCACUUGGACCUGUAAGGCGAAAAGAGGCUUCCAGAGAACUGUGCUUUGUGGUGGAUGGACUUUCCCAGGCAAGAAAUCUGAAUGGUGAGGGGCAAACCAGGUGACCGGCCCAGGGUUCACUUUCUUCAUCAGUAAAAUCUUAACCUAGUCCAGCAGCAGCUAUAAUAGGUACAAGUUGAAAUGAGCCUGUGUUCGCCAACCUUGAUGAAUUUUUAAAAACUAAAUUAUGUGACUAACUGGAAGCCUUAAAAUGAAAGGAAAGAACCCAGUCUUGCUUCCUGAGGUCAAAAUGUCUGAGAAUUCUGUUGUCUCCAAGGACAAACUGCAAGGAGAUAAAGACAUCUGAGAUCACAUGGCUGGCACUUCCACUCUGAGACUGCAAUGUAAGGAACACAGGAAAACACCACGGCCGGCAUUUCACUGGCUUUAGGAGCCUGUAUGCAACAAUCUCCUCCUCACACGCUGCUCAGAAAGCAUUUCUUCCCAGCAAUUUCACAAGGAGAACAAAAGGGACUCAGAUGGAGAAUUUGUGAGCUUGGACAACAGGACCUCUCUAAGCCUGCCAGAAUGCUCGGUGCUUGGAAUAUAUUUGCCAGGAUCUGUCCAGGCCACUGUUAUUGCAACAAAAAGCGAACAUGAAAGAAUAAGUUGCUACUGGAGACAAGUGCGGGAAUUCACACAUCCUCAUCCGUGAACAGGUGCUUUCAAACCCCAGGCUUCAGAACAGUUUCCCCAUGCUUGCAUUUUGAUGGUGCUAUGAUGAAGCAAAUUAAAAAACAGAAGAGACAUUUUGAUUAUCGCACUGCCAAAUCUGAACAUUCCUGUUACGAUCUUGCACUUGCACGAGGCUGAGCUCACAGGGAGACUGCACAGUAGGAAGAAUAUGGACGUGUGUAAAGACAAGAAAAAGGACAGUUCUAAAUUUUAAAUGAUCCAGGCGUGGUGACCCACGCCUGUAAUCCCAGCACUCGGGAGGCUGAGGCAGGAGGAUUGUUACGAGUUCAAGGCCAGCCUGGGCUACAAAGUGAGCUCAAGGCCAGACUGAACUGCAUAGCGAGACCCUGUCUCAAAAAGAUAACAACAAAUAAAUAAAUUUUAAAUGAAGUCUUGGUUAGCAAUCUAACAAAUAAAAUUUCAAGAGAAAUACAUGUAGUAUAAUAUACUUUUCUCUCAGGAUUUUAAAAACUUUUUCAACUUUGGAACUCC